CCUACGGGCGGCAGCAGUGGGGAAUAUUGCGCAAUGGGCGCAAGCCUGACGCAGCGACGCCGCGUGAGGGAUGAAGGUCUUCGGAUCGUAAACCUCUGUCAGCAGGGAAGAACGGUCACUGUGCUAAUCAUCAGUGAAUUGACGGUACCUGCAAAGGAAGCACCGGCUAACUCCGUGCCAGCAGCCGCGGUAAUACGGAGGGUGCGAGCGUUAAUCGGAAGUACUGGGCGUAAAGCGCUCGUAGGCGGUAUGUCAAGUCAAGGGUGAAAUCCCAGCGCUAAACGUGGGAACUGCCUUGAAACCGGCAAACUGGAGUGUGUGAGAGGAUAGUGGAAUUCCAGGUGUAGGAGUGAAAUCCGUAGAUAUCUGGAGGAACAUCAGUGGCGAAGGCGACUAUCUGGCACAUAACUGACGCUGAGGAGCGAAAGCGUGGGUAGCAAACAGGAUUAGAUACCCCAGUAGUC
RNAcentral lists this ribosomal RNA (464 nucleotides) under uncultured bacterium. Its description in RNAcentral is "partial 16S ribosomal RNA". It matches the Rfam family "Bacterial small subunit ribosomal RNA", at positions 338 to 795 of the family's 1533-position model. The record is from RNAcentral.